Molecule: non-coding RNA, 196 nt
Organism: Helianthus annuus (common sunflower)
Lineage: Eukaryota; Viridiplantae; Streptophyta; Magnoliopsida; Asterales; Asteraceae
Source: Rfam
UUAUGAUGUAGGGAGCUUUCUUCAGCCCACUCAUGGAUGUGAUUAAGGAAAUGAAUUAGCUGCCGACUCAUUCAUUUAACCACUUGGUAGAAAAGGUUUGUUUUAUGCUACUUUGAUUGAAUGAAUGAUGCGGGAGAUAAUUUUCAUCCCUUGCUAAUCUAUGCUUGGACUGAAGGGAGCUCCCUCGUUCUUUUCA